GUGAACGCUGGCGGUAGGCCUAACACAUGCAAGUCGAACGGCAGCACAGGAGAGCUUGCUCUCUAGGUAGCGAGUGGCGGACGGGUGAGGAAUACAUCGGAAUCUGCCCAGUCGUGGGGGAUAACGUAGGGAAACUUACGCUAAUACCGCAUACGACCUUCGGGUGAAAGAGGGGGAUCGCAAGACCUCUCGCGAUUGGAUGAGCCGAUGUCGGAUUAGCUAGUUAGCGGGGUAAUGGCCCACCAAGGCGACGAUCCGUAGCUGGUCUGAGAGGAUGAUCAGCCACACUGGAACUGAGACACGGUCCAGACUCCUACGGGAGGCAGCAGUGGGGAAUAUUGGACAAUGGGCGCAAGCCUGAUCCAGCCAUACCGCGUGGGUGAAGAAGGCCUUCGGGUUGUAAAGCCCUUUUGUUGGGAAAGAAAUCUUUCAGGCUAAUACCCUGGGAGGAUGACGGUACCCAAAGAAUAAGCACCGGCUAACUUCGUG
This 489-nucleotide ribosomal RNA is filed under the name uncultured bacterium. Its description in RNAcentral is "partial 16S ribosomal RNA". It matches the Rfam family "Bacterial small subunit ribosomal RNA", at positions 29 to 507 of the family's 1533-position model. The record is from RNAcentral.